GUAGCUGAGACAUCGAAGGUGCGUGGCCGUGCCAGCGGCUUUGCGCAGGAUGCGGUACAGCCAGAGCUCGCCGCU
Molecule: long non-coding RNA, 75 nt
Organism: Amblyraja radiata (thorny skate)
Lineage: Eukaryota; Metazoa; Chordata; Chondrichthyes; Rajiformes; Rajidae
Exons: 3
Source: RefSeq, a predicted model, not a curated record